Molecule: long non-coding RNA, 1363 nt
Filed under: Salmo trutta (river trout)
Lineage: Eukaryota; Metazoa; Chordata; Actinopteri; Salmoniformes; Salmonidae
Description: lncRNA (ENSSTUG00000006011.1)
Source: RNAcentral
GAUAAUUAGCUGUAUGAGAGAUACGCCUUCUCCUUUUGGAGGACUAACUAUCAUCAUUUCUCUUUUAGGGAAGACCAGGGAAGGAUGGGCAUCAAGGGCCCGCUGGAUAUGAGGUAGUUGUCCUGUCAAUCAGAAAUCUGUUUCUUUCUGUCUAACAUUGUUGAUUAUGUUACUGUUUUGUAAUGCAUUUUGUGUGUGUAUGUGUGUGUGUGUGCACUAUGUUUGUUUUUGUGUUCAUGCGUGUUGUGUUUGUGUAUAUGUAACUAUGGUGAUUAUACACUCUUGCCAUUUUUAGGGGAGAAAGGGGAAUCCUGGUUUAGCAGGACCUGAUGGAAUACCUGGACCGUGGGUCAGUCAUUACUACCAUUAAUUUCAUGUUGAGAAUGUGUGCGUGUGCCAAUAAUAAUGAUUUUUUGUUGUGUGUCUACCAGGGACAGAAGGGCGACCAGGGUCAAGACGGAGACCCUGGGGAGGUGAGUGAGUCAAAGUGCCUGAUAAUGUCAGUAUCAACAUCUGGAGCGAAGGAUGAACCUACAGACACAUGCAAAUGAAACCUUCCGUAAUGAAUAAGAUUAGAAGGACUAAGAUUACAUGAACUCCUACUCUGAGACAUUUUAUGAACACAUGCCCUGGUCUCUCUGGUCUCCCCAUAGGUGACCAUGAUUGGCUGUGCCGUAAUUGGCCCGAAAGGACAACCAGGAUUUACUGGCCCCCUGGGGCCCACUGGGGUUACUGGUCCCCCAGGUACUCUACGCUCAUCCGGCAUACAGUACACACCCUUAUUGAUAUUCACCCUCCUCCUAUCCAAUCAGAUGUGAAGUAGCACUGUAUAAUCCUGCCUCAUUAACCAACAUGACCAAUCAGUGUGUCCGUAUAGCUAAUAAUAUCAACCUGUUUUCCAGGUGUCACUGGUUUCCAGGGGCCUCCUGGGUCUCCAGGUAAGCGCUGAUCCACACGCAAGCACUCACACACACACACACACACACACACACACACACACAUAUACUCAGUCUCCAUCAUGGGCUAUCUCCCCCUACACAGGUCCUAACUACGAAGGAGAUCCCGACAAUCGGGGAGUGAAGGGCCACAGUGGGCCUAAAGGGGAUAAAGGAGACCCAGGACCCAUCAUCCAGGGAGAGCCAGGCAGGGAAGGCUCACAAGGAACAACUGGAGACCUUGGACCCCCGGGACCACCUGGAGACUCUGAUAAUCUGAAGGGCCUUAUAGGACCUCCGGGGGCAAAGGGAGCCAAGGGAGAACAAGGGUACAGGGGCCAAUAUGGAUUGAAAGGUGAGCUUUGUCUGAUUCCUCUUCUGAUUGGAGGGGCAGUCAGUAUUGAGUAUACUGAUUGGCUGGGCUGUCC